UCCCGGCUGACGAGCCAGAGCGAGGCCAUGGCCCUGCAGUCGAUCCGGAACAUGCGCGGGAACUCCCACUGUGUGGACUGCGAGACCCAGAAUCCCAACUGGGCCAGUUUGAACUUGGGCGCCCUCAUGUGCAUCGAGUGCUCAGGGAUCCACCGGAAUCUUGGCACCCACCUUUCCCGAGUCCGAUCUCUGGACCUGGAUGACUGGCCAAUCGAGCUCAUCAAGGUGAUGUCAUCCAUCGGGAACGAGCUAGCCAACAGCGUCUGGGAAGAGAGCAGCCAGGGGCGGACAAAACCCUCGGUAGACUCCACAAGGUAAGAACUCUGGAAGAUGCCUGGCUCCCGACACGUUUGCCAACAGUUAGGCAGCUGGAAGUGAUCAUAAUGACAGCCACAGUUGGGAAGGCCCUGAUAACCUGUAGGACUUCAGGAAUUCCGAUUCAUCCGGCAUAGGAAUGUCUGUGUUUAAAAUUGGUCUUAAGCAGACAUGGAUAAUUCACACUCCUUAAUUUUUUAUGUUUGUUUUUAGGCCUUGGGGAUUUCUCUCCCCCUCUUAGAAAUGUAUUAAGCUUCUAACCUUAUGAAUAUAUUACUUUAAUUAAUACAUUUCUAAUAGGCGUAAGCUGUGCCGUUAACACUAAUUAUGAAUUUUUGAUCCUUUAAUUUUGUUAUUCUUAUAGCUUUGAUAAGCAUCUGCUCUGUCGAUCCCCCCCACCAUCACACAAAAGUUAUUUUUAUGGUAACAAAAUCUAUUUUAUUUUCUAAAAUAUAUCUCUAACACAUUUAGUCAACCAAGUUCAGCAUAAUGUAUGGUGUAACUCCUCAUUAAUGUUAAUUGUUAUCCAGUGUAAAAAACGCAUUU
Molecule: small RNA, 861 nt
Filed under: Pongo abelii (Sumatran orangutan)
Lineage: Eukaryota; Metazoa; Chordata; Mammalia; Primates; Hominidae
Description: retained intron
Source: RNAcentral